CCACAUAUAGUUUUUUUAUAUUUGGAUUAAAUUGCUUAUCCAAAAAAGUUCCGGCUGGUAUUUCUAUUUAUAUGUUUAGAUGGUCCAAGAGUACCCACUGGUGGACUUCAGGCGGAGUCGAAUGAGAAAAGCAAUCCCCAGUGGACAACUACUGAGGUAAGUACUUACAAUUAUCUCCAAAUUUACAGUUCCCAUGUAACAUCUGGGAAGAAUCCUGAUUCGAUUUUAAUGCUGAUUUUGAAUCUCUUUUACCCAAAACACUACCCAUUUUAAACAUACAGCCGCAUGAACGUCCCAAAGUGUAUUGAAUCAUUAUAUUACAUUAGAGAUCACAUAAUUGAAGAUCCACGCACACAUUGAUUCUUAGAUUCAACACAAGAUCAAAAUAUUCAUAUAUUCAUUAAUUGAUUCAUCAUUGGUACAGCCUUGUUAUAAGUUAAGAGAGUAUCCUUUGAAAGCUAUAUUCAUAUUUCAAUAUCACUUGCUUCAACAGACAGAUCAAAGCACAGAGAGAUCAAAUACAUAAACAAUGCCUUACCUUUGCUACUCAGCCUUCAGAGUUAUGGAGUUUUUGGAAAAGGCGCUUGGAGUUCUUGCUCUCAAGGAGGAGAUUCAUUCUUGUUGACCCACAUGGAAGAAAAGUGGCUUAGAAUUCUAAGAAGUGUGGGUGUGCACAAUCAAAGGAGUUUCUCG
RNAcentral lists this long non-coding RNA (693 nucleotides) under Olea europaea (common olive). RNAcentral's name for it is "long non-coding RNA (OEUR_LNC006407)". The record is from RNAcentral. Lineage: Eukaryota; Viridiplantae; Streptophyta; Magnoliopsida; Lamiales; Oleaceae.